GGUUAAGCGACUAAGCGUACACGGUGGAUGCCCUGGCAGUCAGAGGCGAUGAAGGACGUGCUAAUCUGCGAAAAGCGCCGGCGAGGUGAUAUGAACCCUUGACCCGGCGAUGUCCGAAUGGGGAAACCCAGUGCAAUCCGUUGCACUAUCGUUAACUGAAUACAUAGGUUAACGAGGCGAACCGGGGGAACUGAAACAUCUAAGUACCCCGAGGAAAAGAAAUCAACCGAGAUUCCCCCAGUAGCGGCGAGCGAACGGGGAGCAGCCCGGAGUCUGAAUCAGCUUGUGUGUUAGUGGAACGGUCUGGAAAGUCCGACGGUACAGGGUGAUAGUCCCGUACACGAAAAUGCACAUGCUGUGAACUCGAAGAGUAGGGCGGGACACGUGGUAUCCUGUCUGAAUAUGGGGGGACCAUCCUCCAAGGCUAAAUACUCCUGACUGACCGAUAGUGAACCAGUACCGUGAGGGAAAGGCGAAAAGAACCCCGGCGAGGGGAGUGAAAAAGAACCUGAAACCGUGUACGUACAAGCAGUGGGAGCCUCUUUAUGGGGUGACUGCGUACCUUUUGUAUAAUGGGUCAGCGACUUAUAUUCUGUAGCAAGGUUAACCGUAUAGGGGAGCCGAAGGGAAACCGAGUCUUAACUGGGCGUUAAGUUGCAGGGUAUAGACCCGAAACCCGGUGAUCUAGCCAUGGGCAGGUUGAAGGUUGGGUAACACUAACUGGAGGACCGAACCGACUAAUGUUGAAAAAUUAGCGGAUGACCUGUGGCUGGGGGUGAAAGGCCAAUCAAACCGGGAGAUAGCUGGUUCUCCCCGAAAGCUAUUUAGGUAGCGCCUCGUGAACUCAUCUUCGGGGGUAGAGCACUGUUUCGGCUAGGGGGCCAUCCCGGCUUACCAACCCGAUGCAAACUACGAAUACCGAAGAAUGUUAUCACGGGAGACACACGGCGGGUGCUAACGUCCGUCGUGAAGAGGGAAACAACCCAGACCGCCAGCUAAGGUCCCAAAGUCAUGGUUAAGUGGGAAACGAUGUGGGAAGGCACAGACAGCCAGGAUGUUGGCUUAGAAGCAGCCAUCAUUUAAAGAAAGCGUAAUAGCUCACUGGUCGAGUCGGCCUGCGCGGAAGAUGUAACGGGGCUAAACCAUGCACCGAAGCUGCGGCAGCGACACUAUGUGUUGUUGGGUAGGGGAGCGUUCUGUAAGCCGUUGAAGGUGUGCUGUGAGGCAUGCUGGAGGUAUCAGAAGUGCGAAUGCUGACAUAAGUAACGAUAAAGCGGGUGAAAAGCCCGCUCGCCGGAAGACCAAGGGUUCCUGUCCAACGUUAAUCGGGGCAGGGUGAGUCGACCCCUAAGGCGAGGCCGAAAGGCGUAGUCGAUGGGAAACAGGUUAAUAUUCCUGUACUUGGUGUUACUGCGAAGGGGGGACGGAGAAGGCUAUGUCAGCCGGGCGACGGUUGUCCCGGUUUAAGCAUGUAGGCGGAGGUUCCAGGUAAAUCCGGUACCUUAUUAACGCUGAGGUGUGAUGACGAGGCACUACGGUGCUGAAGUGAUAAAUGCCCUGCUUCCAGGAAAAGCCUCUAAGCAUCAGGUAACACGAAAUCGUACCCCAAACCGACACAGGUGGUCAGGUAGAGAAUACCAAGGCGCUUGAGAGAACUCGGGUGAAGGAACUAGGCAAAAUGGUGCCGUAACUUCGGGAGAAGGCACGCUGAUGUGUAGGUGAAGCCCCUGCGGGUGGAGCUGAAAUCAGUCGAAGAUACCAGCUGGCUGCAACUGUUUAUUAAAAACACAGCACUGUGCAAACACGAAAGUGGACGUAUACGGUGUGACGCCUGCCCGGUGCCGGAAGGUUAAUUGAUGGGGUUAGCGGCAACGCGAAGCUCUUGAUCGAAGCCCCGGUAAACGGCGGCCGUAACUAUAACGGUCCUAAGGUAGCGAAAUUCCUUGUCGGGUAAGUUCCGACCUGCACGAAUGGCGUAAUGAUGGCCAGGCUGUCUCCACCCGAGACUCAGUGAAAUUGAACUCGCUGUGAAGAUGCAGUGUACCCGCGGCAAGACGGAAAGACCCCGUGAACCUUUACUAUAGCUUGACACUGAACACUGGUCCUUGAUGUGUAGGAUAGGUGGGAGGCUUUGAAGCGUGGACGCCAGUCUGCGUGGAGCCAACCUUGAAAUACCACCCUUUAAUGGCUGGUGUUCUAACGUAGACCCGUAAUCCGGGUUGCGGACAGUGUCUGGUGGGUAGUUUGACUGGGGCGGUCUCCUCCCAAAGAGUAACGGAGGAGCACGAAGGUUGGCUAAUCCUGGUCGGACAUCAGGAGGUUAGUGCAAUGGCAUAAGCCAGCUUGACUGCGAGCGUGACGGCGCGAGCAGGUGCGAAAGCAGGUCAUAGUGAUCCGGUGGUUCUGAAUGGAAGGGCCAUCGCUCAACGGAUAAAAGGUACUCCGGGGAUAACAGGCUGAUACCGCCCAAGAGUUCAUAUCGACGGCGGUGUUUGGCACCUCGAUGUCGGCUCAUCACAUCCUGGGGCUGAAGUAGGUCCCAAGGGUAUGGCUGUUCGCCAUUUAAAGUGGUACGCGAGCUGGGUUUAGAACGUCGUGAGACAGUUCGGUCCCUAUCUGCCGUGGGCGCUGGAGAAUUGAGGGGGGCUGCUCCUAGUACGAGAGGACCGGAGUGGACGCAUCACUGGUGUUCGGGUUGUCAUGCCAAUGGCACUGCCCGGUAGCUAAAUGCGGAAGAGAUAAGUGCUGAAAGCAUCUAAGCACGAAACUUGCCCCGAGAUGAGUUCUCCCUGAGACUUUAAGUCUCCUGAAGGAACGUUGAAGACGACGACGUUGAUAGGUCGGGUGUGUAAGCGCAGCGAUGCGUUGAGCUAACCGAUACUAAUGAACCGUGAGGCUUAACCUU
Molecule: ribosomal RNA, 2905 nt
Filed under: Enterobacter hormaechei
Lineage: Bacteria; Pseudomonadati; Pseudomonadota; Gammaproteobacteria; Enterobacterales; Enterobacteriaceae
Description: 23S ribosomal RNA
Rfam family: Bacterial large subunit ribosomal RNA
Source: RNAcentral